Molecule: ribosomal RNA, 751 nt
Filed under: uncultured archaeon
Lineage: Archaea
Description: bacterial SSU rRNA
Rfam family: Archaeal small subunit ribosomal RNA
Source: RNAcentral
CCCAGGGGACGUGGAUAACCUCGGGAAACUGAGGAUAAACCGCGAUAGGCCAAGGUUUCUGGAAUGGACCAUGGCUGAAAUCUAUAUGGCCCCUGGAUUGGACUGCGGCCGAUCAGGCUGUUGGUGAGGUAAUGGCCCACCAAACCUGUAACCGGUACGGGCUUUGAGAGAAGGAGCCCGGAGAUGGGCACUGAGACAAGGGCCCAGGCCCUAUGGGGCGCAGCAGGCGCGAAACCUCUGCAAUAGGCGAAAGCCUGACAGGGUCACUCUGAGUGAUGCCCGCUAAGGGCAUCUUUUGGCACCUCUAAAAAUGGUGCAGAAUAAGGGGUGGGCAAGUCUGGUGUCAGCCGCCGCGGUAAUACCAGCACCCCGAGUGGUCGGGACGAUUAUUGGGCCUAAAGCAUCCGUAGCUUGUUCUGCAAGUCCUCCGUUAAAUCCACCUGCUCAACAGAUGGGCUGCGGAGGAUACUACAGGGCUAGGAGGCGGGAGAGGCAAGCGGUACUCAGUGGGUAGGGGUAAAAUCCUCUGAUCCACCGAAGACCACCAGUGGCGAAGGCGGCUUGCCAGAACGCGCUCGACGGUGAGGGAUGAAAGCUGGGGGAGCAAACCGGAUUAGAUACCCGGGUAGUCCCAGCUGUAAACGAUGCAGACUCGGUGAUGGGUUGGCUUCGCGCCAACCCAGUGCCGCAGGGAAGCCGUUAAGUCUGCCGCCUGGGGAGUACGGUCGCAAGACUGAAACUUAAAGGAAUU